This 481-nucleotide ribosomal RNA is filed under the name uncultured bacterium. RNAcentral describes it as "partial 16S ribosomal RNA". It matches the Rfam family "Bacterial small subunit ribosomal RNA", at positions 28 to 507 of the family's 1533-position model. The record is from RNAcentral.
GAUGAACGCUGGCGGCGUGCUUAACACAUGCAAGUCGAACGAAGCAUUUGCGACAGAUUUUUUCGGAAUGAAGUUGCUUAUGACUGAGUGGCGGACGGGUGAGUAACGCGUGGGUAACCUGCCUUGUACUGGGGGAUAGCAGCUGGAAACGGCUGGUAAUACCGCAUAAGCGCACAAUGUUGCAUGACAUGGUGUGAAAAACUCCGGUGGUAUAAGAUGGACCCGCGUCUGAUUAGCUAGUUGGUGAGAUAACAGCCCACCAAGGCGACGAUCAGUAGCCGACCUGAGAGGGUGACCGGCCACAUUGGGACUGAGACACGGCCCAGACUCCUACGGGAGGCAGCAGUGGGGAAUAUUGCACAAUGGAGGAAACUCUGAUGCAGCGACGCCGCGUGAGUGAAGAGGUAAUUCGUUAUGUAAAGCUCUAUCAGCAGGGAAGAUAGUGACGGUACCUGACUAAGAAGCUCCGGCUAAAUACGUG